UUAAGCGACUAAGCGUACACGGUGGAUGCCCUGGCAGUCAGAGGCGAUGAAGGACGUGCUAAUCUGCGAUAAGCGUCGGUAAGGUGAUAUGAACCGUUAUAACCGGCGAUUUCCGAAUGGGGAAACCCAGUGUGAUUCGUCACACUAUCAUUAACUGAAUCCAUAGGUUAAUGAGGCGAACCGGGGGAACUGAAACAUCUAAGUACCCCGAGGAAAAGAAAUCAACCGAGAUUCCCCCAGUAGCGGCGAGCGAACGGGGAGCAGCCCAGAGCCUGAAUCAGUAUGUGUGUUAGUGGAAGCGUCUGGAAAGGCGCGCGAUACAGGGUGACAGCCCCGUACACAAAAAUGCACAUGCUGUGAGCUCGAUGAGUAGGGCGGGACACGUGGUAUCCUGUCUGAAUAUGGGGGGACCAUCCUCCAAGGCUAAAUACUCCUGACUGACCGAUAGUGAACCAGUACCGUGAGGGAAAGGCGAAAAGAACCCCGGCGAGGGGAGUGAAAAAGAACCUGAAACCGUGUACGUACAAGCAGUGGGAGCACAGAGCAAUCUGUGUGACUGCGUACCUUUUGUAUAAUGGGUCAGCGACUUAUAUUCUGUAGCAAGGUUAACCGAAUAGGGGAGCCGAAGGGAAACCGAGUCUUAACUGGGCGUUAAGUUGCAGGGUAUAGACCCGAAACCCGGUGAUCUAGCCAUGGGCAGGUUGAAGGUUGGGUAACACUAACUGGAGGACCGAACCGACUAAUGUUGAAAAAUUAGCGGAUGACUUGUGGCUGGGGGUGAAAGGCCAAUCAAACCGGGAGAUAGCUGGUUCUCCCCGAAAGCUAUUUAGGUAGCGCCUCGUGAAUUCAUCUCCGGGGGUAGAGCACUGUUUCGGCAAGGGGGUCAUCCCGACUUACCAACCCGAUGCAAACUGCGAAUACCGGAGAAUGUUAUCACGGGAGACACACGGCGGGUGCUAACGUCCGUCGUGAAGAGGGAAACAACCCAGACCGCCAGCUAAGGUCCCAAAGUCAUGGUUAAGUGGGAAACGAUGUGGGAAGGCCCAGACAGCCAGGAUGUUGGCUUAGAAGCAGCCAUCAUUUAAAGAAAGCGUAAUAGCUCACUGGUCGAGUCGGCCUGCGCGGAAGAUGUAACGGGGCUAAACCAUGCACCGAAGCUGCGGCAGCGACGCUGAUGCGUUGUUGGGUAGGGGAGCGUUCUGUAAGCCUGUGAAGGUGUGCUGUGAGGCAUGCUGGAGGUAUCAGAAGUGCGAAUGCUGACAUAAGUAACGAUAAAGCGGGUGAAAAGCCCGCUCGCCGGAAGACCAAGGGUUCCUGUCCAACGUUAAUCGGGGCAGGGUGAGUCGACCCCUAAGGCGAGGCCGAAAGGCGUAGUCGAUGGGAAACAGGUUAAUAUUCCUGUACUUGGUGUUACUGCGAAGGGGGGACGGAGAAGGCUAUGUUGGCCGGGCGACGGUUGUCCCGGUUUAAGCGUGUAGGCUGGUUUUCCAGGCAAAUCCGGAAAACUAAGGCUGAGGCGUGAUGACGAGGCACUACGGUGCUGAAGCAACAAAUGCCCUGCUUCCAGGAAAAGCCUCUAAGCAUCAGGUAACAUCAAAUCGUACCCCAAACCGACACAGGUGGUCAGGUAGAGAAUACCAAGGCGCUUGAGAGAACUCGGGUGAAGGAACUAGGCAAAAUGGUGCCGUAACUUCGGGAGAAGGCACGCUGAUAUGUAGGUGAAGUCCCUCGCGGAUGGAGCUGAAAUCAGUCGAAGAUACCAGCUGGCUGCAACUGUUUAUUAAAAACACAGCACUGUGCAAACACGAAAGUGGACGUAUACGGUGUGACGCCUGCCCGGUGCCGGAAGGUUAAUUGAUGGGGUCAGCGCAAGCGAAGCUCUUGAUCGAAGCCCCGGUAAACGGCGGCCGUAACUAUAACGGUCCUAAGGUAGCGAAAUUCCUUGUCGGGUAAGUUCCGACCUGCACGAAUGGCGUAAUGAUGGCCAGGCUGUCUCCACCCGAGACUCAGUGAAAUUGAACUCACUGUGAAGAUGCAGUGUACCCGCGGCAAGACGGAAAGACCCCGUGAACCUUUACUAUAGCUUGACACUGAACAUUGAGCCUUGAUGUGUAGGAUAGGUGGGAGGCUUUGAAGUGUGGACGCCAGUCUGCAUGGAGCCGACCUUGAAAUACCACCCUUUAAUGUUUGAUGUUCUAACGUUGACCCGUAAUCCGGGUUGCGGACAGUGUCUGGUGGGUAGUUUGACUGGGGCGGUCUCCUCCUAAAGAGUAACGGAGGAGCACGAAGGUUGGCUAAUCCUGGUCGGACAUCAGGAGGUUAGUGCAAUGGCAUAAGCCAGCUUGACUGCGAGCGUGACGGCGCGAGCAGGUGCGAAAGCAGGUCAUAGUGAUCCGGUGGUUCUGAAUGGAAGGGCCAUCGCUCAACGGAUAAAAGGUACUCCGGGGAUAACAGGCUGAUACCGCCCAAGAGUUCAUAUCGACGGCGGUGUUUGGCACCUCGAUGUCGGCUCAUCACAUCCUGGGGCUGAAGUAGGUCCCAAGGGUAUGGCUGUUCGCCAUUUAAAGUGGUACGCGAGCUGGGUUUAGAACGUCGUGAGACAGUUCGGUCCCUAUCUGCCGUGGGCGCUGGAGAACUGAGGGGGGCUGCUCCUAGUACGAGAGGACCGGAGUGGACGCAUCACUGGUGUUCGGGUUGUCAUGCCAAUGGCACUGCCCGGUAGCUAAAUGCGGAAGAGAUAAGUGCUGAAAGCAUCUAAGCACGAAACUUGCCCCGAGAUGAGUUCUCCCUGACUCCUUGAGAGUCCUGAAGGAACGUUGAAGACGACGACGUUGAUAGGCCGGAUGUGUAAGCGCAGCGAUGCGUUGAGCUAACCGGUACUAAUGAACCGUGAGGCUUAACCUU
This 2904-nucleotide ribosomal RNA is filed under the name Escherichia coli OK1180. RNAcentral describes it as "bacterial LSU rRNA". It matches the Rfam family "Bacterial large subunit ribosomal RNA". The record is from RNAcentral. Lineage: Bacteria; Pseudomonadati; Pseudomonadota; Gammaproteobacteria; Enterobacterales; Enterobacteriaceae.